RNAcentral lists this long non-coding RNA (410 nucleotides) under Mytilus galloprovincialis (Mediterranean mussel). The record is from RNAcentral. Lineage: Eukaryota; Metazoa; Mollusca; Bivalvia; Mytilida; Mytilidae.
GAAAGAUAUAGAGAAACCAGUGAUAUUUUUUGAUUGGAAGAAAUACCUUCAGCAGUAUUUUAAAACACUGAAGCAUAUCAGCACGUAUCACCACUUUACGGUUGAUUCAACCAAACCUGGAUAUGUUGUUUGUAGAGUCCUGUGACUCUGUACCUAUAACAGACAAUUUGUUAAAAGAGAAUACUCUUAUAUCAACAGAUUUUGACACUUUGACACCAAAAGGAUUAGAUGCAGCCAGACAGUGGUAUUUGUACUAACAAAUCAGGAACUUUGCUAUAACGACGCUAAUAAAGAUGUCAGUUGUCCAAAGCCAACAAUUGCUAAAACUGAGGUUGACUUGACCAGUGAUGUGGAUACCAGAAAACACAAAUGUCCAUCAAGGAAGCAGAAUCUACUGAAUUAAAUUACCC